GAUGAACGCUGGCGGCGUGCCUAAUACAUGCAAGUCGAGCGAACAGACGAGGAGCUUGCUCCUCUGACGUUAGCGGCGGACGGGUGAGUAACACGUGGAUAACCUACCUAUAAGACUGGGAUAACUUCGGGAAACCGGAGCUAAUACCGGAUAAUAUAUUGAACCGCAUGGUUCAAUAGUGAAAGACGGUUUUGCUGUCACUUAUAGAUGGAUCCGCGCCGCAUUAGCUAGUUGGUAAGGUAACGGCUUGCCAAGGCAACGAUGCGUAGCCGACCUGAGAGGGUGAUCGGCCACACUGGAACUGAGACACGGUCCAGACUCCUACGGGAGGCAGCAGUAGGGAAUCUUCCUCAAUGGGCGAAAGCCUGACGGAGCAACGCCGCGUGAGUGAUGAAGGUCUUCGGAUCGUAAAACUCUGUUAUUAGGGAAGAACAAAUGUGUAAGUAACUAUGCACGUCUUGACGGUACCUAAUCAGAAAGCCACGGCUAACUACGUG
This 497-nucleotide ribosomal RNA is filed under the name uncultured bacterium. RNAcentral's name for it is "partial 16S ribosomal RNA". It matches the Rfam family "Bacterial small subunit ribosomal RNA", at positions 28 to 507 of the family's 1533-position model. The record is from RNAcentral.